RNAcentral lists this small nuclear RNA (282 nucleotides) under Meriones unguiculatus (Mongolian gerbil). RNAcentral describes it as "7SK RNA (ENSMUGG00000025750.1)". It matches the Rfam family "7SK RNA". From Rfam's summary of the family: 7SK was discovered as an abundant small nuclear RNA in the mid-70s but a possible function has only recently been suggested. Lineage: Eukaryota; Metazoa; Chordata; Mammalia; Rodentia; Muridae. The record is from RNAcentral.
GGGCAAUCUGGCUGCAGUAUCCACCACCCCAGUGGAUUCUCAGCUGAUCUGGCUAGGCGGUGUCAGCUUCCUCCCUCACCGCUCCACUCGCAUUCCUCUGGAAGCUGCUAGCUAGGUCAAAGAGAAUGACCUUCCUCCAAUAGAGGAGGGCCUCUCCUGUCUUAGGUCAUGGGUACAGGAGCAGCUGUGCUCCCCUGCUAAGACCUCCAAACAAGCUCAAAUGUAGAGGUUUUAAUGUAACCUUCGGUAGCCCUGGUAGAAGUGAUUUUUUCCAACCUUGUU